UCUCUGCAUGACACAUACUGCAACAAAAUGGAAAUUGAUUUCACCAAGUUUGGCAACUCUGCAGUGUCUUGUAACCUUUGCAACGAUGCUUAUUUGAAAGGCUGGGUUUAAUUAUCCUUCUUUUGCCUGCUUCUCAAGAUGUUGAUGGUUGGGAGAUGAGAAAUGUCUGGGCAAUAUUUGCAAUGCACUCUCAAGAGAAGGAGAGGUCACUUCUGGCUAGCCUGCUACCAAAGGAGUGUCUCGGGGAAUCUGGUGCCAUCAUCACACAGAACAAAUAGAUUCCCGCUGUACAUAACUGAAGACUUCCGUGAAUGGUCAGCCACGACCACAUUAAAAGGACCUGCGGACUAACAACCAAAAAGUGAUUCUUGUCGUUUCUAAAAACUGUCCUGAAGUGCUGUUUUCUGUAGGAACUGGUUCCCUGGGUCUUUUUGCUCUGUUUUCUCCAUUAUUUAAACACACUGUCUUCUGUUCUC
RNAcentral lists this long non-coding RNA (476 nucleotides) under Homo sapiens (human). RNAcentral describes it as "HSALNT0041298". Lineage: Eukaryota; Metazoa; Chordata; Mammalia; Primates; Hominidae. The record is from RNAcentral.